This 492-nucleotide ribosomal RNA is filed under the name uncultured bacterium. RNAcentral describes it as "partial 16S ribosomal RNA". It matches the Rfam family "Bacterial small subunit ribosomal RNA", at positions 29 to 507 of the family's 1533-position model. The record is from RNAcentral.
AGUGAACGCUGGCGGUAGGCCUAACACAUGCAAGUCGAACGGCAGCACAGUAAGAGCUUGCUCUUACGGGUGGCGAGUGGCGGACGGGUGAGGAAUACAUCGGAAUCUACUUUUUCGUGGGGGAUAACGUAGGGAAACUUACGCUAAUACCGCAUACGCCCUACGGGUGAAAGCAGGGGAUCUUCGGACCUUGCGCGAUUGAAUGAGCCGAUGUCGGAUUAGCUAGUUGGCGGGGUAAAGGCCCACCAAGGCGACGAUCCGUAGCUGGUCUGAGAGGAUGAUCAGCCACACUGGAACUGAGACACGGUCCAGACGCCUACGGGAGGCAGCAGUGGGGAAUAUUGGACAAUGGGCGCAAGCCUGAUCCAGCCAUACCGCGUGGGUGAAGAAGGCCUUCGGGUUGUAAAGCCCUUUUGUUGGGAAAGAAAAGCAGCAGGUUAAUACCCCGCUGUUCUGACGGUACCCAAAGAAUAAGCACCGGCUAACUUCGUG